UACGUAGGGGGCAAGCGUUGUCCGGAAUCAUUGGGCGUAAAGAGCGCGUAGGCGGCCCUGUAAGUCCGCUGUGAAAGUCAAGGGCUCAACCCUUGAAUGCCGGUGGAUACUGCAGGGCUAGAGUCCGGAAGAGGCGAGCGGAAUUCCUGGUGUAGCGGUGAAAUGCGCAGAUAUCAGGAGGAACACCGAUGGCGAAGGCAGCUCGCUGGGACGGUACUGACGCUGAGGUGCGAAAGCGUGGGGAGCAAACAGG
This 253-nucleotide ribosomal RNA is filed under the name uncultured bacterium. Its description in RNAcentral is "partial 16S ribosomal RNA". It matches the Rfam family "Bacterial small subunit ribosomal RNA", at positions 524 to 776 of the family's 1533-position model. The record is from RNAcentral.